GCGCAGUAUAUAAACAGCUGGAAUACUGGUCUUUAGGUGGAAAUAGAAUAAACGGAGUGCAUAAGUUACAGAAAUAAUAAGAUUACAUACUAUAUGUAUGCAUAUACAGACUGAGGUCGGGCUCGGCGGUCUGGACGCCCUGGGCCAACUAAGGAGCCGGGGCCAACAAAAAUAAAACCGCUCUUUUGUGGAGGACCCGGGGCGAUAGCCAGCCUGUGCCCACAUCAUGCACUGAUACCGGAUAGUAGUUUUCUUUAAAUUUAUUUCGAUGAAGCCCAUUUAAUGUACUGAAAGAAUGCAACAUGUGUACGCCAUAAGGAGGCGGAAAAGUCAAGCAAAAUAUAUAUGUAUUGUGCAACUCCGUCAAACUUCUUUGGAUUGUUGAUCCUUAAAAGUAAUUAUGUAAUGAGUACGAAAACGUGGUAUUUUUUAA
Drosophila miranda is the source of this 433-nucleotide long non-coding RNA. RefSeq lists it as uncharacterized. The record is from RefSeq and is a predicted model, not a curated record. NCBI's taxonomy places the organism in Eukaryota, Metazoa, Arthropoda, Insecta, Diptera, Drosophilidae. The transcript has 3 exons.